GAUGAAGAACGUAGCGAAAUGCGAUAAGUAGUGUGAAUUGCAGAAUUCAGUGAAUCAUCGAAUCUUUGAACGCACAUUGCGCCCUUUGGUACUCCUUAGGGCAUGCCUGUUCGAGCGUCAUUUAAACCUUCAAGCUAAGCUUGGUGUUGGGUGACUGUCCGCUUCACGGCGGACUCGCCUCAAAAUUAUUGGCGGCCGGUACAUUGGCUUCGAGCGCAGCAGAAACGCGAACUCGGGCCCGUCGUAUUGGCUCCCAGAAGCUAUCUUCACAAUUUUGACCUCGGAUCAGGUAGGGAUACCCGCUGAACUUAAGCAUAUCAAUAAGCGGAGGA
This 332-nucleotide unclassified non-coding RNA is filed under the name soil metagenome. RNAcentral's name for it is "partial contains 5.8S ribosomal RNA, internal transcribed spacer 2, and large subunit ribosomal RNA". The stretch from base 1 to 120 matches the Rfam family "5.8S ribosomal RNA", at positions 35 to 154 of the family's 154-position model. The record is from RNAcentral.